GACGAACGCUGGCGGCGUGCUUAACACAUGCAAGUCGAACGGAAAGGCCCUGCUUUUGUGGGGUGCUCGAGUGGCGAACGGGUGAGUAACACGUGAGUAACCUGCCCUUGACUUUGGGAUAACUUCAGGAAACUGGGGCUAAUACCGGAUAGGAGCUCCUGCUGCAUGGUGGGGGUUGGAAAGUUUCGGCGGUUGGGGAUGGACUCGCGGGUUAUCAGCUUGUUGGUGGGGUAGUGGCUUACCAAGGCUUUGACGGGUAGCCGGCCUGAGAGGGUGACCGGCCACAUUGGGACUGAGAUACGGCCCAGACUCCUACGGGAGGCAGCAGUGGGGAAUAUUGCACAAUGGGCGGAAGCCUGAUGCAGCAACGCCGCGUGCGGGAUGACGGCCUUCGGGUUGUAAACCGCUUUCGCCUGUGACGAAGCGUGAGUGACGGUAAUGGGUAAAGAAGCACCGGCUAACUAAGUG
This 468-nucleotide ribosomal RNA is filed under the name uncultured bacterium. Its description in RNAcentral is "partial 16S ribosomal RNA". It matches the Rfam family "Bacterial small subunit ribosomal RNA", at positions 28 to 507 of the family's 1533-position model. The record is from RNAcentral.